UACAGAGGUCCCAAGCGUUGUUCGGAUUCACUGGGCGUAAAGGGUGCGUAGGUGGCCGGGUAAGUCUGACGUGAAAUCUCCAAGCUCAACUUGGAAACUGCGUCGGAUACUAUCCGGCUAGAGGAUCGGAGGGGAGACUGGAAUACUUGGUGUAGCAGUGAAAUGCGUAGAUAUCAAGUGGAACACCAGUGGCGAAGGCGAGUCUCUGGACGAUUCCUGACACUGAGGCACGAAAGCCAGGGGAGCAAACAGG
This 253-nucleotide ribosomal RNA is filed under the name uncultured bacterium. RNAcentral's name for it is "partial 16S ribosomal RNA". It matches the Rfam family "Bacterial small subunit ribosomal RNA", at positions 524 to 776 of the family's 1533-position model. The record is from RNAcentral.